CUGGUAGCUCCUCCCUGUUAAAUGCCCAUCUCAAUGCCUCUGCCCUAAGUGAGUUGUGCAAUAAAUGAGCUGUCACUCUGAACAGGUGGGAAAGAAGUGAACUGCUUGUUCACUUGCUGCUGUUGCCACUGCUGGUACAGAAAUAGAAGCACAAAAAAACAAAGACAAAAAACCUCCAAGCUCCCUUCAGUAGUUGCUACACCUUCAGAUUGAGACAUCCUUCCUCAUUUACAAACCUCAGCUGUGUCUGGGGGCAGGGCCACAGUGAAACUGCCAGGAGCAAAAAGGCUUCCAAGAAAAAGUACCACAUCAGAUUGGAAACUGGGGACAGAUCAUUCCUGGGAUGUGACGGGCACCAGAAUGCUCCCUCUCCAAAGGAUCUAAGGACCAAAGCUGACAGUUUCUUUACUUGUGCUGAAGAAUCAGGAGACAAACUUGAAUUUGUAAUAUUAAGAAA
This 457-nucleotide long non-coding RNA is filed under the name Homo sapiens (human). RNAcentral's name for it is "non-protein coding lnc-FIBIN-1:1". Lineage: Eukaryota; Metazoa; Chordata; Mammalia; Primates; Hominidae. The record is from RNAcentral.